UAUGAGUCCUCAAUCUUAAUGUUUCUCCAUUUAAACAGGCCAAUAUAAUUUAUCGUCAUGAAUUAGCUCGUUUCACGUUGCUCACCUACCCAGGCUUGGGACCGGCAAUGUGCUCUAGCUGCAAAAAAGCAUUUGUAUUACUUUAAAAAUUAAAAUACCAUACCUGGAGUAGAAUAUCUAGCUAAAACAUUUUUAAAUUAAUCUCUACGUAACAUUCUUUACGUAACAGCCGUGUAUUAGUAUAUACAUUAUCCUCAACAGUUAACAAUCUCUGCAUUAUUAUUCACCGCAUAGCAUCCUACAUUAUGGUCUUUGCAUAACCAGCUUGCGAACCGAACGACCAAUUAAAAUUCAGUGGCGGACCCACAUUCAACCUAGGGGUGUCAACCGACAAUCCUUUGUCGCAAAAUUAUAAUAUAUGAAUUUACUAUAUGUUGGCUCUCCUUGACAUUUCGGUGUAUUUAAUUUUUUAUAUUUUGACACCGCUUAUUUCCGCCACUGUUAACACUACUGUAAAGACAUAAAGGCUCCUAUAUAUAUGAAGGAGGGCUUAUUGCUAUAUAUUCAGCAGGUUGAUUAAUUUGGAGAGAUCUUGAUCCCAACAUCUUAGCUUGAAAGGCCUUAGAAUUUGAUCUCUUUGAUGGAUUAGAAACAACAAAAAUUAUGACAAGAUGGCCUCAAGGAAAAACAUUGUAUAUCCAUCCAGGUAAAAGUUAGUACUUAGUUUUCUUUUACUUCUUCAUUUUUUACUUAUUAAACCUUUUAAUCUUGUUCUUUUUUCUUCUUACCCUUUCCUUUCAGGAAAUCAGUGUCUGCUUCAUCAUCAGAUGUUGAGUUCCACAUAUGUGGAGUACCAUUUUCCUUGAAUAGGGUUAGUUAAAAAUCAUGAGAAGUCAAAUGUAACACACACAUCAGAAUUAUUUCAGUUUUACUAAGCUGUUGGUUUGUGUUGAACUUACAGGAAAUUUUGACUGCAAAAUCUGCAAAGCUAGCUGCAGUGCUGAAAGAAAAUCCCAAAGAUGAUGUUUCUCAUUUGCUAGGAGACCUUCCCACUGAUUCCGAAACUUUUGAGCU
RNAcentral lists this long non-coding RNA (1074 nucleotides) under Nicotiana benthamiana. RNAcentral's name for it is "long non-coding RNA (NBEN_LNC027463)". The record is from RNAcentral. Lineage: Eukaryota; Viridiplantae; Streptophyta; Magnoliopsida; Solanales; Solanaceae.